RNAcentral lists this ribosomal RNA (460 nucleotides) under uncultured bacterium. Its description in RNAcentral is "partial 16S ribosomal RNA". It matches the Rfam family "Bacterial small subunit ribosomal RNA", at positions 338 to 795 of the family's 1533-position model. The record is from RNAcentral.
CCUACGGGAGGCAGCAGUGAGGAAUAUUGGUCAAUGGACGAGAGUCUGAACCAGCCAAGUAGCGUGAAGGAUGACUGCCCUAUGGGUUGUAAACUUCUUUUAUAUGGGAAUAAAAUGUUCCACGUGUGCGUUUUUGUAUGUACCUUAUGAAUAAGGAUCGGCUAACUCCGUGCCAGCAGCCGCGGUAAUACGGAGGAUCCGAGCGUUAUCCGGAUUUAUUGGGUUUAAAGGGAGCGUAGGUGGAUUGUUAAGUCAGUUGUGAAAGUUUGCGGCUCAACCGUAAAAUUGCAGUUGAAACUGGCAGUCUUGAGUACAGUAGAGGUGAGCGGAAUUCGUGGUGUAGCGGUGAAAUGCUUAGAUAUCACGAAGAACUCCGAUUGCGAAGGCAGCUCACUGGACUGCAACUGACACUGAGGCUCGAAAGUGUGGGUAUCAAACAGGAUUAGAUACCCUUGUAGUC